GCUCAGAUUGAACGCUGGCGGCAGGCCUAACACAUGCAAGUCGAGCGGCAGCGGGACCUUCGGGUUGCCGGCGAGCGGCGGACGGGUGAGUAAUGCCUAGGAAUCUGCCUGUUAGUGGGGGAUAACGCGGGGAAACUCGCGCUAAUACCGCAUACGUCCUACGGGAGAAAGUGGGGGACCUUCGGGCCUCACGCUAACAGAUGAGCCUAGGUCGGAUUAGCUAGUUGGUGGGGUAACGGCCCACCAAGGCGACGAUCCGUAACUGGUCUGAGAGGAUGAUCAGUCACACUGGAACUGAGACACGGUCCAGACUCCUACGGGAGGCAGCAGUGGGGAAUAUUGGACAAUGGGCGAAAGCCUGAUCCAGCCAUGCCGCGUGUGUGAAGAAGGUCUUCGGAUUGUAAAGCACUUUAAGCCGGGAGGAAGGGCUGUAGGCGAAUACCCUGCAGUCUUGACGUUACCGGCAGAAUAAGCACCGGCUAACUUCGUGCCAGCAGCCGCGGUAAUACGAAGGGUGCAAGCGUUAAUCGGAAUUACUGGGCGUAAAGCGCGCGUAGGUGGUUUGGUAAGUUGGAUGUGAAAGCCCCGGGCUCAACCUGGGAACUGCAUCCAAAACUGCCUGGCUAGAGUACGGUAGAGGGUGGUGGAAUUUCCUGUGUAGCGGUGAAAUGCGUAGAUAUAGGAAGGAACACCAGUGGCGAAGGCGACCACCUGGACUGAUACUGACACUGAGGUGCGAAAGCGUGGGGAGCAAACAGGAUUAGAUACCCUGGUAGUCCACGCCGUAAACGAUGUCGACUAGCCGUUGGGCUCCUUGAGAGCUUAGUGGCGCAGCUAACGCAUUAAGUCGACCGC
RNAcentral lists this ribosomal RNA (855 nucleotides) under Azotobacter vinelandii. RNAcentral's name for it is "bacterial SSU rRNA". It matches the Rfam family "Bacterial small subunit ribosomal RNA", at positions 22 to 872 of the family's 1533-position model. The record is from RNAcentral. Lineage: Bacteria; Pseudomonadati; Pseudomonadota; Gammaproteobacteria; Pseudomonadales; Pseudomonadaceae.